AUUGAACGCUGGCGGCAGGCCUAACACAUGCAAGUCGAACGAGUGGCGGACGGGUGAGUAAUGUCUGGGAAUCUGCCUGAUGGAGGGGGAUCACUACUGGAAACGGUCGCUAAUACCGCAUACUCUCGGAUGUCCCCAGAUGGGUUUGGCUAUUAGGUGGGGUAAAGGCUCACCUAGGCCACGAUCCAUAGCUGGGCUGAGAGGAUGACCAGCAACACGGGAACGGAGACACGGCCCAGACGCCUACGGGAGGCAGCAGUGGGGAAUAUUGCACAAUGGGCGCAAGCCUGAUGCAGCCAUGCCGCGUGUAUGAAGAAGGCCCUCGGGUUGUAAAGUACUUUCAGCGGGGAGGCGUUACCCACAGAAGAAGCACCGGCUAACUCCGUGCCAGCCGCCGCGGUAAUUC
This 406-nucleotide ribosomal RNA is filed under the name uncultured bacterium. RNAcentral's name for it is "partial 16S ribosomal RNA". It matches the Rfam family "Bacterial small subunit ribosomal RNA", at positions 30 to 526 of the family's 1533-position model. The record is from RNAcentral.